AUUCCCGUGACCCUGAAGAGUGAGGUGGGCAUCAGAGCGGACGGAGACACUGAAGAGGGACUUCAGGAGCCUGAUCAAGACAGUGCGCAGCAUAUCGCCUGCAUGAUGAUCAUCGUGUCAGGACCACUUCCCACGUAUAGAUGAGGACAUGAAAGGCUUUUUAGAUCUCCUGUUGGACAACAUCUCCAGGACACUUCGCUCCAUAUGACUAGGCAGUUUGUGAAAAGAGAUAAUCAAGAGAAGUCAGUUCCAGAUCCACCCUCCACACCAGACCUCUCUCUCACGAGGAUUGCUGUCUACUAGCAUAUUGUGUUCUUCAGCUCUUCAGACUUCGGUGGAUGCAGAUAUUACUCAGGG
Long non-coding RNA from Carassius auratus (goldfish), 357 nucleotides. RefSeq lists it as uncharacterized. The transcript is spliced from 3 exons. Lineage: Eukaryota; Metazoa; Chordata; Actinopteri; Cypriniformes; Cyprinidae. The record is from RefSeq and is a predicted model, not a curated record.